AUGACGGUAGUCCCACCCGUGUCGAUUCGUGCGACCCUCCCAUGCUGGGUCGACCCAUGUAUUUUGUUGCUUUGGCGGGCCGGGUUUGCGCCCCGUUCGGCGUCCGCUGUGGCGCUGGGGGAGCCGCCCACCGGCUUCGGCUGGAGCGUGCCCGCCAGAGACCUCAUCCAAACUCACGUUGUCAUGUAGUCUAAGCUUUAUUAAGUAAUUGAUAAAACUUUCAACAACGGAUCUCUUGGCUCUGGCAUCGAUGAAGAACGCAGCGAAAUGCGAUAAGUAAUGUGAAUUGCAGAAUUUAGUGAAUCAUCGAAUCUUUGAACGCACAUUGCGCCCCUUGGCAUUCCGAGGGGCAUGCCUGUUCGAGCGUCAUAACACCCCCCUCAAGCUGCCCUUGUGGUGGCUUCGGUGUUGGGGCUCGUCGCAGUUUUGCGGUGGCCCUUAAAGACAGUGGCGGUCCCCGCGUGGGCUCUACGCGUAGUAACUUGUUCCUCGCGACAGAGUGACGCUCGUGAUCAGCCAGAACCACCCACCUUUGUCCGGUCAUCCGGAUUGACAGGUUGACCUCGAAUCAGGUAGGAAUACCCGCUGAACUUAAGCAUAUCAAUAAGCAGAAUGAAAACUUAAUUGACAGGUUGAC
This 637-nucleotide ribosomal RNA is filed under the name Erysiphe necator (grape powdery mildew). RNAcentral describes it as "eukaryotic LSU rRNA". The stretch from base 216 to 369 matches the Rfam family "5.8S ribosomal RNA". The record is from RNAcentral. Lineage: Eukaryota; Fungi; Ascomycota; Leotiomycetes; Helotiales; Erysiphaceae.